Molecule: ribosomal RNA, 876 nt
Filed under: Triticum aestivum (bread wheat)
Lineage: Eukaryota; Viridiplantae; Streptophyta; Magnoliopsida; Poales; Poaceae
Description: partial small subunit ribosomal RNA
Source: RNAcentral
AUGGAUCAAAAUUCAACUUAUGUGCUGAAAAUCAGUUUGCUUGGCAACCCAAAAAAGGCUAGAAAGUAUAUCAAAUGCUUCUGUUUUGAUAAGGUUAUUGAUUCCUACUUAACAAAUUAUAAGGACUUUGUUGAAUCAAUCGUAGAGCAGUACUCGCCUCGUUAUUUGGAAGUUGCACAUGUUCAGUACUAUGAUGAUUUUCUUAAAAUCUACCCUGAAGUAACAUCUGACCAAGAAUUGAUGUUGAUGUUUGAGAAACACUCUAAGACAAAGGUUGUGCACAUGUUUGUUGCAUAUUGUGAUCCAUCGGAACCAUAUGAGCCUAUAACGGAGUGGCAUAGUGAUGCGCAUAGCCAACCUAACAACAUAGAACAAGAUGAUGAUGAUUAUCUUCGCAACCCAGUACCUGAGAAUGAGCAUGUUGGUGUUGAUGAGGAAAAUAUUUAUUUAGAGGAUGAACCUGUACCUCUUAUCAUGGUUCCUUGUUCCAAUAAAGAAAAGGACAAAGACUAUGUGCCUGAUCAUGAGAGCGAGGCUGAGAGCGAGUUUGAGAGCGAGGAUGGGAGUGCGGAUGGGAGCAUGUCAGAGGUUGAAGUAGAGGAAGAUGAGGAAUAUCACGAGGCAGAUCAUGCACCACACAUUGAAUAUAAUAAAUUAGAUCCUCCAAUGAACGAAGGAAGAAAAUAUCCCAAUAUGGCAGAGUUUAAAUUGGCGCUUUCUCAACAUGCAAUCAAACAUGAAUUUGAGUUCGACACCGAAAAGAGUGCACCACAUAGGUUUAGAGCUUAUUGUUCAAGAAGGGAUGAAGAUAAGGGUCCAUGGAGGAUAUAUGAUUCUACAAUGGAAGAUGAGUGCAUAGUAAUGGUAAUUUUCUAA